This 460-nucleotide ribosomal RNA is filed under the name uncultured bacterium. RNAcentral's name for it is "partial 16S ribosomal RNA". It matches the Rfam family "Bacterial small subunit ribosomal RNA", at positions 338 to 795 of the family's 1533-position model. The record is from RNAcentral.
CCUACGGGUAGCAGCAGUGAGGAAUAUUGGUCAAUGGGCGGAAGCCUGAACCAGCCAAGUCGCGUGAGGGAUUAAGGCCCUGCGUGUCGUAAACCUCUUUUGCCGGGGAGCAGAGGUCCGGACGUGUCCGGGCCGGGAGAGUACCCGGAGAAAAAGCAUCGGCUAACUCCGUGCCAGCAGCCGCGGUAAUACGGAGGAUGCGAGCGUUAUCCGGAUUUAUUGGGGUUAAAGGGUGCGUAGGCGGGCUUUUAAGUCAGCGGUAAAAAUUCGGGGCUCAACCCCGUCCGGCCGUUGAAACUGGGAGCCUUGAGUGGGCGAGAAGGAGGCGGAAUGCGUGGUGUAGCGGUGAAAUGCAUAGAUAUCACGCAGAACCCCGAUUGCGAAGGCAGCAUUCCGGCGCCCUACUGACGCUGAGGCACGAAAGUGCGGGGAUCGAACAGGAUUAGAUACCCUUGUAGUC